Oncorhynchus gorbuscha (pink salmon) is the source of this 264-nucleotide long non-coding RNA. RefSeq lists it as uncharacterized. The record is from RefSeq and is a predicted model, not a curated record. Lineage: Eukaryota; Metazoa; Chordata; Actinopteri; Salmoniformes; Salmonidae. The transcript has 4 exons.
CUACUAGACCUUUGAUAAGAUCCUCAUUGCAAACAGAGGAGAGAUCGCCUGCAGGGUGAUGAAAACAUGUAAGAAGAUGGGUAUCAAAACAGUGGCGGUGCACAGUGAUGUCGACGCCAGCGCGGUCCAUGUGAAGAUGGCUGACGAGGCAGUGUGUGUAGGCCCCGCCCCCACCAACAAGAGCUACCUCAACAUGGACGCCAUCAUGGACGCUAUCAGGAAGACUGGAUCCCAGGCCGUGCAUCCAGGCUACGGCUUUCUCUG